CCUACGGGAGGCAGCAGUGAGGAAUAUUGGUCAAUGGGCGCGAGCCUGAUCCAGCCAAGUAGCGUGAAGGAUGACUGCCCUACGGGUUGUAAACUUCUUUUAUAAAGGAAUAAAGUGAGGCACGUGUGCCUUUUUGCAUGUACUUUAUGAAUAAGGAUCGGCUAACUCCGUGCCAGCAGCCGCGGUAAUACGGAGGAUCCGAGCGUUAUCCGGAUUUAUUGGGUUUAAAGGGAGCGUAGAUGGGUUGUUAAGUCAGUUGUGAAAGUGUGCGGCUCAACCGUAAAAUUGCAAUUGAUACUGGCAGUCUUGAGUACAGUUGAGGUAGGCGGAAUUCAUGGUGUAGCGGUGAAAUGCUUAGAUAUCACGAAGAACUCCGAUUGCGAAGGCAGCUUACUAAACUGCCACUGACAUUGAUGCUCGAAAGUGUGGGUAUCAAACAGGAUUAGAUACCCUUGUAGUC
RNAcentral lists this ribosomal RNA (460 nucleotides) under uncultured bacterium. RNAcentral's name for it is "partial 16S ribosomal RNA". It matches the Rfam family "Bacterial small subunit ribosomal RNA", at positions 338 to 795 of the family's 1533-position model. The record is from RNAcentral.